RNAcentral lists this long non-coding RNA (201 nucleotides) under Elaeis guineensis (African oil palm). RNAcentral's name for it is "long non-coding RNA (EGUI_LNC042257)". Lineage: Eukaryota; Viridiplantae; Streptophyta; Magnoliopsida; Arecales; Arecaceae. The record is from RNAcentral.
CGGGCCAAAAACUUGAUAGAGUGCAUCAGAUAAAGGAGGAUAGGAUGCCCCAAGGACCCUUGAGAAACCAUAGUAGAGAGACUUCAAUUUCAUUCUGUAGACUGCUAAGUGAUAAGUACUGGAUUUAAUUCAUGGUAGAAAGAACAUAUUGAGCUGUAUUUCCAGGUAUUACCUUAUUACUGACUGCAACGUAUCGAAAUA